UUUCCUUAGGCUCUCCUUGCUGCUGCUUGUCCAGACUGCAAGCAUUGCCUCAGCACUAGUGUAAGGCCUUCAGCUUUCAGCUUCCUCAAUACAAGACAAACAAGAUCACAGUGAGGCAAGAUCUACGAAGAUGAUUUGUGGACUGGAGCAUUUGACAGACGUGAAAUGGCCAAAAGAACUGGAGUUCUUCAGCCUGGAGAUGACUUAGUCAGAAAAAAGACUGUUUGCUGUCAAAGAAAGCUCUCAACUGUGACAGCUAUGAUUUCUCAGACUCUAGAAGAUUCACCUUCCAAGCUGUCUACCGUAUUUCAAGUCUGACACCUCCUGUGGGACACAGUGUCCCACAACCCAUUUUUCUCAUUAUAACCACUCUGAAGCCAACUUUAUGUGAGGAACCAGAUACAUUCUGUACGAAUAGCAAGAAACUGUUAAUCUCACUUCCACAAAAAAUGUUAAGUCCAAACACCAAAGAAAAAGAAAUACAUGUAUGAAUACAUUUCUGCUACCAUCUUGCCAAUCUCAUCAACACUCGCACUUCUAAGAAUGGAGGCAAGAAAUCUGUCGAAAACUGAAGACAGACAGAUACUGUUAGCAGAACAUAUCUUUUAGAGACAGAUGGAGAAGUCUAACUUUAGCUACUUUUGCUGUGAUAAGACCAGAGGAUGAGGGCCUUUGACCACUGACCAGAGUCUAAAACCUAUCACGAGAUGAUCUCUUGGAGCUAUCAUCCAGAUCUUGUAACUACAAGAAAGUCUUUGAAUCACUCUAGCAGAAAUGACAAAAAACAAUGGAGUACAAGAAGCUGCCUACUCUGCUACACUUCCAUUUGAAUGAGUCAUCUGUCUUCUGGGAAGUGAAUAUUUUACUAUGCCAUAUUCCUCUGCAGCCGAUGAACAUGCUCAGCCAGGCUCCUUUUUAAACAGGUAUGCUAAAAACAGAAGACUGACAGAGACAAAAAUCAAACAAAUAUCAACUGAUUUGUAUAGGAUUUCAAGCAGAGGAAGAGAAGGAGAAAAUAAAUAAUUUUCUUCUCAAUUACACGUGGAUACUCUUCUAAGGAUGGAAUCUGGUUCUAUUUAAAGUGAAAUAAAUAUUGUUUCUCCCAAGUGCUCCAGAAGAUGUCUACCUGAAAAUCUCUCUGAGCACAUACUUACGUUCACUGAGUUGUCUAAACAUUUAUUCCAAUGAGUGUGUGUCAGCAAAGCACUCCUACCUAUAAACAUGUUUUCAAAAAGUUGUUCUCUUUUAGAACAAAUGAGUAAAUAAAAAGAUAAUUGUUUGUUUGGCAAAGGCAGAAACAUAAGAAUAAACCACCUCUUGU
Molecule: long non-coding RNA, 1321 nt
Organism: Gallus gallus (chicken)
Lineage: Eukaryota; Metazoa; Chordata; Aves; Galliformes; Phasianidae
Source: Ensembl